This 72-nucleotide transfer RNA is filed under the name Dryadobates olfersioides. Its description in RNAcentral is "tRNA-Val". It matches the Rfam family "tRNA". From Rfam's summary of the family: Transfer RNA (tRNA) molecules are approximately 80 nucleotides in length. Their secondary structure includes four short double-helical elements and three loops (D, anti-codon, and T loops). Lineage: Eukaryota; Metazoa; Chordata; Amphibia; Anura; Aromobatidae. The record is from RNAcentral.
CAGAGUGUAACUUAAAAUUAAAGUGUUUCGCUUACACCGAAACCAUAUUUGUGAAAAUCAAAUCUCUCUGAG